This 206-nucleotide unclassified non-coding RNA is filed under the name uncultured Retiboletus. RNAcentral's name for it is "sequence contains ITS2". The record is from RNAcentral. Lineage: Eukaryota; Fungi; Basidiomycota; Agaricomycetes; Boletales; Boletaceae.
AAUUCUCAACCGAUUCUUGGAUCAGCUUUGACUUGGGAGCUUGUUGGGUCCGCUUGGCUCUCCUGAAAUGCAUUGCAUUAAGCUAAUGUGCACGGCCUCUGACAUGAUAAUGAUUGUCAUAGCUGGAGCAUGGCUUGAUCAUCAGAUCGGCUUUAGCUACUAGUUUGUUUGUAACCCGAAUGAACGAACGUGAGUCUAACCUAAUG